GGAUGCUUCAGAUUUACACAUCUGGUAAAAAGUUUGGCUCAUUAUGCUCAUCUGUGGUAGUGCGUGUUAGCAAUAUUCUCCUCGUGCUGUUUAAGUUGUAGCUAAAUAGGUUAUUAAUGAAAGGUUCAGAGCUGAUAUGAGACGCACUUCUUUGUUAAAGACAAGCGAAGCUUUUUUCGAAGUUGACACUGACUAUCAAGGUUUAGGAGACACUUCAUCUACACUCUGAUGCAUUUGUGACUUAGUCAACGGUGAGACUGCUUAAUCUUUCGGUUAGUCGUCCUCCCUUGCCAACUGUGUUGCUGUUGCCCUGUGUUCCACACCAUGGCACGCCACAGUAAGCUGCAAAAACAGGUGUUGUCUCUGUACCGCCAGUUCCUGCGUGCUGGCCAGGACAAGCCAGGCUUUCUACCCAGGAUCCGGGAUGAGUUCCGAGAGAACUCCAGCAUCAAGAAGACUGAUGUCAUGCACAUAGAAUACCUUUACCGGCGCGGACAGAGACAGCUAGACCAGCUGAAAGAUGUGAACACAAAGCAACUAGGAACUUUCUCCAAACCUAAGGCAGAGCGAUAACCAACACUAUUUCCGUCUCCACACCCUCUGUUGUAGCUACCUCUAGUUAUGUGGAUAAUACAGCGUUAUCCAUUGUGUUACAUUCAUCAUUCACUAGUCAGAUUACUACUUUCAAUCUGCAGCUGAGUAAGUGCAGUCAUUGUCCUAAGCAAUGGCCAUUGUUCUGAACUGUAUGACAGUACCAAUGCACUGUGCUCUUUCAUAGAGCUGGAUACCACUGAUGAUGAUGAUGAUGAUGAUGAUGAUGAUGAUAAAUGUUUAAGUCAAUCUCUGGCCAGUGAGUUUGUUGGGUUGAGCAGACCAGUUGCUCUGGUCAUUGUUGUAAAAUACUUACUUUCAUCUAGCUACAUUUACCUGUUGAGUGUUUUGGAUUAAAGACUUUUAUCAUCAGUAUGGGAAGUGAAUUUGACUUAUGUAAAAGGUCUAGUUAAUACUAUUAUAUGCUUACGUGUCACAGGAGGUCAAGUUAUGGGAUCUUAGAUUUUUAUAAUACUUUUAAAAAUAGAAAUGGUGUACUCUUACUGCAUUGUUAGGUCGUAACAUAAACAUUUUUCUGCACCAGCUAUAACAUCUGUGUAUGCGACCAAUAAACUUUGAUUUAAUUUAAUGCUCAUGAAAUAUACAGUCAAUUAGAAAUGCCUGAGUAAUUUAGACACUGCCAGUCAGCAACAGACAGUAGACAAAUCUAAUGGUCCAAUCCCAAAUUGACCCCUUGACCCUACGCCCUAUCAGAGAGGAAUAGGUGAAGCAAGAGGGUUAUCUCUCGCCAAAAUCUGUCCAAAAUAGAUUUCAAAUAGAGCCAUGACUACACGGAUCUCUGCCACCCCAGGUAACUCAAGCCAGCAAUAAAACCUAUUUCAAAAAACAGAUAAAAUAAUACCUUACUGCACAAAGGGGACUGUGAAGAGACACAGACAUUGUAUAUACUGUAUAAUGUAUUGUAAUUUGCACUGUACUAUUAGACCUAUAUAUUGUGUGUAUGUACUGAUUAUGUAUGUUGGCAAUGUACCCCUGACUGCAAUGUGCAGUUUGGGGUGAGGCUCAAUGUGGGCGGAGUCAAACAUUUGACCAUGCCCACUGUAUUUUUUGAAAGUCCUCCACAGGUUUGACAGUCACACACUGAAUACAAACACACACGUUUGUGCAAGGAACACGUUGAAUACAAACAUAUUUCCUUUUUGAAGAUCGUAAGAAAUAUUAUAUAAAGUGGUACCAGCACAUAUGUUGAAACACUUUUUGCUUCAUGCUAUAUUUGAGACAAGCUACUGAUAUUGUUGCGGUGAACAACAGACUUGUCAUGUACUGUUAAGAUUGCGUUGAUAAAUGUUAACUUUAUAUUAUUUAAUUGAGAAUAAAUAUACAGUUACUAGCUAUCCUGAUUUAUAAUGCUAUUUACUUUCCUCAUCAGAAUGGAGACAGACUAUACCAUAUAGGCAAGCUGAAUGUGCUUUGUACAUUAAGUUAUACCAGCUCCAGUAAAGAGAUCAGAGACUCGGGUGACUUCUAAGUCAUCUUUACUAAACAACAUAACACAAUUAACAAAUGAAACAAUUAACACAGCAGACAAAAACAAGGUUGACCACUCCUCAAAAAUUGCUUCACUCCUGCUCCUCAAAAGAGGCAAAGACAGUCAUUUUCUUGUUGUCAACUGCCUCCACAUAGAACAUCUCAUCAUCUCUCUGUAACUGGAACGAGAACAUGAAUGGUUUCUCAAGGAGAAUAUUUUCCUCCUCAUCCAGGCCAUCAUACAACCGUAGUUCUUUAAGGGUUGUAAUACGGUCUUCCACCCUCCAUCCCAAUUACACUAGGGAGGGAAAUGUUGCCUUUAAAUGUUUGCCGUUCGCACCACCUUGCUGCUUCCUUGAAGAAAAAGGAAGAAGAAAAAUUAAGAGUUGUGCCUCAUUGGGUGAUCAAGUAAAGUUUUUACAAUACCACCAUGGAAACAAAAGCCACCAUUACUAAAGAGGUUUUCAGUGAUAUCUAUAACUACUCAACAAGUCUAUUAUAUGCAUCAAGCCUUCAGCAUUACACACAGUAGACUACAUACACAGUUCACAGCUCCCAGUUCGCCUUGCAUUUUGUUUUCAGUAUUGUCUAGAAAGAAAACCGAUUGUUGUCAUUAAGCAAUGUAAGGGAACCUCUAGGGAUGUGUGUACAGGAAUGCACCUUACUUUAGCUAAUAGUCUAUACAGUACCUGAUCCUGCAGAGCUGGAGGCUGAUGUGACAUGCUGUGACUUCUUGGGGGAGAGUCAUAUACAUCAUCCUAAAAUAUAUUGGAGGGGGGGGGGUUAAGUCUUUAAACAUUGGUUUAAGACUAUACCACUCAUCAUAUGAUACCUCCUACCUGUGUUUUGUUUCAAUCUUUCAACCUCACUUCUUCAGACCUUAGUGAGUGAAUGACGUACAUUACAUACAUAAAAUAGAUUCAGGUCAGUCUGGCUACAGUGAAACAAAUUAUUUUAAGGAAGUUUGUAUAAUGUUCAAGACUUUGGGGUGGCAGGGUAGCCUAGUGGUUAGAGUGUUGGACUAGUAACCGGAAGGUUGCAAGUUCAAAUCCUCGAGCUGACAAUUCUCUCGUUCUGCCCCUGAACAGGCAGUUAACCCACUAACUGACUUGCCUAGUUAAAUAAAGGUAAAAUUAAAAAAGACAUACGACAUGGAAAGUUCUGCAGGAGAACUAGGCACCACAAUAGUGUGCUGCAAGCACAGAAAUAAUAAUUGUUCAUAUGUUAUAACAACAGAAAAUAGGACUAAUAUAAAAUACUGAAUAACCAGCAUCUUACCAUCAAAACAAACACCCCACAUUUGUUUGAGAAACUUUGCGUUGGUAGGCCCUGUGGUGUGAACAAGGUACAAUUUUCAAUAAAGGAAUGACAAUCAAAUGGUUCAGUGGAAUCAUUUAAAGGAAUAUCUGACCUAAACAUCAUCCACACCAAAAGUCCUCCAAGGUCCAGGGGACAAGAUUCGAGCAAUGUUUCUGUGAACACAGUGUAUGUGAAAGUUAAGAAAAAGUACAAUUUUUAAACUGAACUACCACUAUCCAGAUGGGAUGAAACCGGGUGCCCGAAAAACAUGAAUGGUUGGGUGCAACUUUUCUCUCCAGCCAGUGCCAUGGAGGGGAUCAAGAAAGAAAAUCUCCCUAGCUUGUGGCCUCAGUAUCUGUUAAAUGUGUUCAAAUAUGAACAGACACACUUUGACAUACAACUUUCAAACUUAUGACUUUAAAAUAGUAGGAUUUAUACUGAAAAACUAUAUAGGUAGUGGUUAAUGAAACAGCUAUAACGCAUUGUAAUUCUAGAAAAGAAUCAGAGCGGCAAUGAGCAACUUCGUUUUACAGUUAACAAAGGCAAAACUAAAUUUACUAACACCUAAUGUCCAAUGUGUUUAUCCAUGUAACUAGAUUAAAUUCGAUUAAGACUCGCUUUCGUUGACGUUGAUACCUUCGACGUGAACAAAACUAUUUAGGUCACCCGAAAGGAGGGGUUCGGGUUAAACGCGUUUGACUCCGCCCACAUUGAUCCCGGACCGGAACUGCACACUGCAGUCAGGGGCUUCUCGGUCUUAUUGCUUAAUUAUAUUAUUAUUAUAUAUUACUAUGUAAGAUUCUCGCUAUAGCCACACGGUGGUGGUAACUUGCGUAGCAGAUCUUAGCACACGACGUAGCGUAGUUAAAUGUAAACAGGAAGUGGAUACACGGGGUUCGUUCUUGGCCUGUGAGUCUUGAGAUUGAGACUAAAUUUUUGUUCAUUUUAAUUGGAUAAUUACAUUACUACAGAAUUAUUGUUAUAGUAGCUUGUAUAUUUGUUUUACGUAAAAUAUUUGAACAUGUCCGGAUCAUCGAGGCCAGGUGAAAUGUCCAAUUCGCAGUUGUUCCAGCAGUUAGCGCUUUUGGGCUGGCUCCGUUCAGACAGCGAAAAAGACAAGGAGAUCUUAACGGCCAUCACAGGCAUUCAGGUGGCACGAGAGCUCAUGAACCGUCUCACAGGACAAAGAGAAGUGGACGCUUUUAAGAAAGAAUGUAUCCAGAGCAUUGCAGACUUUGUGCAGAAGAAUCCUCGUGCCUCACAAAAGGAAAUCAACACAGCAGUUGAGAAGCAUGUCUUGCUUUUUGCUGCUCGAGUACAGGCCCUUGAUUCUGCACCCCUACUAUGAGUCCCACACAGCUUACACACAUCUUCUUUGUUGUAGCUCACUAUCACUGACUGACCACUGUAUCUGAAUAGAAAAGCUUCUAAAAUUAAGAAAUUAUUACACCAAUCAAGGUAUGCCUACACACAUGGGUUCUAUCUGCGCUCUCUCUCUCUCAUGCUGUAUUGCAAACAACCCUAUUGCAAUGUUGUGCUACUGUACAAAGAAUACUGGAUAAAAAGCUUUAUGUCAUGGACCAGGAGAUGACCAGACAACUGUACAUUUUGGUAACAUUCCAAUAAUUCCACCAGCCAGUCUGUUUAGAUUGUUAUCUAACCUAAUUUAAUCUAAACCAUGUUUUUGAUAUAAUUUUCAUAACGUAGAUAGCCUUAUCUAAGGCAGAUGUAAUUGUUGUCUAUCUGUUGUAUGUUGUCUUCAUAUAUUGUCUAAUAUUAUACAUAUUGCCUUAUUUGAAUUAUUGUAAUGAAUUGAUAUUAAAAGGGAGACUCUUCUGAUG
This is a non-coding RNA of Oncorhynchus mykiss (rainbow trout), 5219 nucleotides long. NCBI's taxonomy places the organism in Eukaryota, Metazoa, Chordata, Actinopteri, Salmoniformes, Salmonidae. The record is from RefSeq and is a predicted model, not a curated record.